ACAAACCAUGUUCUCUGUAGCUGUACUGCUGCUGCUCCUGGCUGCUGGCUCUGGUGUGAACUGUGAACAGCUUACUGAGCCCGAGACUCUGACUAUCCGAUCUGGUCAGUCUCUGACCAAUCCUUUGCAAUGAUUAAAGUGCCUUUAACAGAUGCUUAUUGACCCACAUUGUACUGUGUAAUUUGGUGGUGCGUGCCAUCACCAAUAGUGCAGAACAGUUUUUGCGCUUCCUCUCGAUUUCUGCUCUCUCUGUGUGUGUGUGUGUGUGUGUGUGUGUGUGUGUGUGUGUGUGUGUGUGUGUGUGUGUGUGUGGGGGUGUGUGUGUGUGUGUGUGUGUGUUAUUCUUGUGUGCCAGCCUUUUUGCCUCUUUAUCUCUUCAUCUCUUCUCUGUUAAAAAAUAUAUCAUGUCUACCUGAUGUUGGUGUGUGUGUGUGUGUGUGUGUGUGUGUGUGUGUGUGUGUGUGUGUGUGUGUGUGUGUGUGUGUGUUGUGUAAAUUUCAUCACGGCUCGAAAGAAGUUUAGGCCCUGCCCCUCCUGCCAAGAACCUAACCAGGUGAGGGAAAAGUGGAAUAGAGCAUUAGACCUAUGUCCAAUGUUCCAAUGUUCUAAAUGACUUUGUAUUAUAUCUGUACUGUGUUCCAAAAAAGGGAUAAUUUAAGAUGUCUGGAUUGAUAUACAUUUUGAUUGCUUGUUUUUCACCAAACGCCAUAGACAUCGUUGAUUAGAGUAGCCUGGGUGUCUCAUAGCUCUGCCACUUUCACUGUAUGAUUAUCAAUCCUUUGCCAUGAUCUGUUGUGUACUUACUUAAACUCUGGGUGCGUCAAUCCAGAGAUGCAUAUUCUGAAUUGCAUUGUGCUUCAUUUGUGCCUCUUUCCUGUAUACAGCCAAAUGAAACGCUGUAUCUUGAUUGUA
This is a long non-coding RNA of Gadus morhua (Atlantic cod), 912 nucleotides long. RefSeq lists it as uncharacterized. The record is from RefSeq and is a predicted model, not a curated record. Lineage: Eukaryota; Metazoa; Chordata; Actinopteri; Gadiformes; Gadidae. The transcript is spliced from 2 exons.